Molecule: non-coding RNA, 72 nt
Organism: Picea glauca (white spruce)
Lineage: Eukaryota; Viridiplantae; Streptophyta; Pinopsida; Pinales; Pinaceae
Source: Rfam
ACCCUUUUGACUUAGUAGUAGAGUAAUGCCAUGGUAAUGCAUAAGUCAUCGGUUCAAGUCCGGUAAAGGGCU